GUGGAAACAUGCAGCGUUUGCGUACAGCUUGGUUCACUGUCGUCAACUGGUGGAAUCAACUCCACGCACGAUCAUCAGUCACUCUGUUGCGAUGUUUUACAACACAGAUAAGUUUAAGUUCUGUCUGUAGUAGUCUACGUGGACAGAAUUCAACUUUUCGUGGAUUAAGUGCCGCGGGCGUGCAAUGUGCAGUUCGUAUUUAGCGCCAGCUGGCGGCGAGCGUGCGGCUACGAACGAGGCUGGGGAAGACGAGGCGUUCCGCGCACGAAGAAGGAAGAUGUAAAUGAUCCAAUUACUGCUCAUUAUCUUAUUGAGGUGUGUCCAUAUCUUACCCUACGGCAGUAAAAAGCAAAGGAACAAGUUGAAUCUACCGGUGAAUAGUGCUCAAAACAGUGUGUAUACAUGGACGUUCGAUCUUUUAGACAAACCAAUUGUCACUAUCUAAUAAAAUUUUUUUAGCUUGACGUUUUCCUAGUGAGAUCAGGAUAUUCACAGGAACCUACAAGUCAUUUUUACAGGAAUCUACACCGGUCAGCAAAUUUAGCAUCACGCAUAUAAUCAAAGAGCUGUCAUUAUUAAUUCAACGUACUACGUGUGCUUUAUGGAUAAUACAGUGAGUUAUAAUAUACUACAGAACUGUGA
RNA transcript from Varroa destructor (honeybee mite), 642 nucleotides. RefSeq lists it as uncharacterized. Lineage: Eukaryota; Metazoa; Arthropoda; Arachnida; Mesostigmata; Varroidae. The record is from RefSeq and is a predicted model, not a curated record.